GAAUGUCCCCUUGCUACAAAUUAUGUUUAGUGGGAUUGAGAAUAAUUUAAUACUGUGUAAGGGGCCCGGUUGCUAACCCAUUUCCUUUUUCCUAAACCAACUGGGUAGUGGAGUGGUGGGUAAAAUAAUUAAGUGGACUAGGCAGUCUCUAUGUUUUUAGUAUAAUAUUACCCAAUUCCCUGAUCAGACAAAGUUUGUAUACCCCUAGCCCUAUCACAGUGGCUAUGGAUAUUCAAACUCCUAGCCACAAAUGUGCCAUGCCCUGACAAUCUCAUCUAAAUCUCAUUACCAACCCACUUUCUCUAAUUAGUGUUAGGGAGAUGAAACAGUAAAAUAAACAAGAGUAAUACACCAGGUCAAAUAAUUAUUUAUACAUACAUUUCAAAAUCUUAUUGUCAUCUAUUUUCUUUUUCCAUACAAAAUAAAUAUGUAAAUAAUAAUUUUCCUGACUCACUAGCCCUAAGAAAUGCUCUUGUAGAGUUUUUCAUUCUAAUUUUUAUAUUUUUUCCAUCAAAUGUUGGCAAACUGAUUUUUUUUAUACAGUUGUAUUGGGUAUGAUGGCUUGAUUAAUGUUUGCCAAAUGCACAACAAGGUAAAAUGUAUUACUAUUGUUUAAAGUGUUUAUUUUGAACUUGGUAGGGUUAGUGACUUAGUGACAAGAUCUUUUGAACCCAUAGCCUGUAGGACUUUAUAUGGCAAGUGAUCGACCAAACCCUGAUCCUAUUUGAUUUAAAGAUGGAUGAGGAGUUAUAUUUGUGCUAUUAGUAAUUGAGCACACUGCGUGUCCUAUAAUUGUAAGAGUAAAGGGGCUAUGAUUAGAAUGUGGACUAGAGAGCUAAGGGGGACCCUGCCCCUAAUAGUUAUAUUAUUCUCAAUUUCACUAUUUAAGUGAAGAAGGUAGUGGUAGAUAAAUUUGCUGAACCCCUCUAUACUAUUAUAUGAUAUUACCUUCUAUCAAUAUACAUCUAGUGGCAUUUCAGGUCAUGGUGUCCUAUGGUGUUGCCUCCCUCAAAUUAAUUUUGGUGUUAAUUUGUUAUAGCACUAGAAAAUAAUACUAAUUCAGAACUAGUAAACUGACCUGAUAAUUAUUGGAGCAUUACUUCAAUAGGAGAGGUAGAUUACUAGAAUGAAUUAUAUGUUAUUAUGGUAUUAUAUAAUGUAUUCUAGUUAUGAGAGCCCAACCAAUCAACUGGUAAACAUUUGCAGGGUGACUUAAAACUAAUUUUGUUUAACAUGCAGUAUUUAUAUG
Pelobates cultripes (western spadefoot toad) is the source of this 1249-nucleotide non-coding RNA. Lineage: Eukaryota; Metazoa; Chordata; Amphibia; Anura; Pelobatidae. The record is from the annotation of a GenBank genome assembly.